Molecule: ribosomal RNA, 458 nt
Filed under: uncultured Glomus
Lineage: Eukaryota; Fungi; Glomeromycota; Glomeromycetes; Glomerales; Glomeraceae
Description: SSU rRNA
Rfam family: Eukaryotic small subunit ribosomal RNA
Source: RNAcentral
AAGCUCGUAGUUGAAUUUCGGGGUUAGUAGGUUGGCCAUGCCUCUGGUAUGUACUGGUCUCACUGAUUCCUCCUUCCUGAUGAACCGUAAUGCCAUUAAUUUGGUGUUGCGGGGAAUUUGGACUGUUACUUUGAAAAAAUUAGAGUGUUUAAAGCAAGCUAACGCCUGAAUACAUUAGCAUGGAAUAAUGAAAUAGGACGUUCGAUCCUAUUUUGUUGGUUUCUAGGAUUGACGUAAUGAUUAAUAGGGAUAGUUGGGGGCAUUAGUAUUCAAUUGUCAGAGGUGAAAUUCUUGGAUUUAUUGAAGACUAACUACUGCGAAAGCAUUUGCCAAGGAUGUUUUCAUUAAUCAAGAACGAAAGUUAGGGGAUCGAAGACGAUCAGAUACCGUCGUAGUCUUAACCAUAAACUAUGCCGACUAGGGAUCGGAUGAUGUUAAUUUUUUAAUGACUCAUUCGG